RNAcentral lists this transfer RNA (1062 nucleotides) under Caligus clemensi. RNAcentral's name for it is "16S ribosomal RNA". The record is from RNAcentral. Lineage: Eukaryota; Metazoa; Arthropoda; Copepoda; Siphonostomatoida; Caligidae.
UAUAGAAUGCCCGAAGGAGAGGGAUUAUUUUGAUAGAAUAAUAAUGCUAUGAUGCUUCUAUAAUUUAAUAUAUUAAAGAUAUCGUACCUUUUGUAUUAUGGGAAUACAAAUAUAUUUACUAAAAAUUUUUCCCGAUAAAAAAUAACAUUUUUAAUAAAAAAUUUUAGUUUUACAUAAAUUUUUAAAAUUAUUAAUAACGUGAUACACGAUAAUUUUUUAAAUCUGGUUGUUUUCUAAAAAAAAAAAAACUUUUUUGAUAAAAUUUUUAAUUUAAUUACCUAAGUGUAAUUAUUAUUUUAUAAAAUAAUAUUAUAUUAACACUCUAAGAAUAAUAAUACCCUAAUUAUAAUUAAUAUUUGUUGUUUUUAAAAAUUUAUUAUUAUUUUAAUAUUUAGAAAACUUUAUAACUAUUUAAUUUAAAAUAUGUAUUCAUUAGUAAUAAUUGUUUAAUUAAUAUAUUUUUAAUAUUAUUUAUAAAUUUUAUAAUUAUAAAAGUUUAAUAACUUGAAUUAUAAAAAACUGUUUAACAAAAACAUAGUAAAAUUAAAUUUUAUAUAUCUGCCCAAUGAAUAUAUUUAUAUGGCCAUAAAUGUAGCAUAAUAAUUAGUUUAUUAAUUGUAAACUUGAAUGAAGACAACAUUUUUAUAAUAUGUUUUAACUUUUUUUAUGAACUUUAAUUAUUAGUGAAAAUGCUAAUAUGUACUUAAUAGACGAUAAGACCCUAAGAUCUUUAUAAAAUUUAACUGGGAUAGUUUUUUAAUAAUAAUAAAAACUUUUUAUUUAUAAAACCAAAUUAUUGCUAAAGAAAGAUACCUUAGGGAUAACAGCACAAAGAAAAUCUUAAGUCCAAAUUUUAAUAUUUCUAGUGACCUCGAUGUUGAAUUAAGUAAUUCAAAAGCUGCAAAAGGUUUUGUUUUAAGUCUGUUCGACUUUUAGUACUUACAUGAUUUGAGUUAAGAUCGACGCAAGUCAGAUUGGUUUCUAUCUUUAAGUUAUUAAUUUUUAUUUAGUACGAAAGGAAAGAUUAAAAUUUUAGAAAUUUAUUUAAAUUUUAUACUAUCA